UCUUGGGUCCACCUUCCUUGCUCAUUGCAUGCCACAUCACCACGCCCUACUUGUUUCUGUGUUCCAUCCAGUCCUCUCUUAGUGCCCUGGUGUCUGGAGCUCAGAGGGUGCUUCCUCCCUGCUUGCUGAAUCGGAUUACAGGCAGCAGGGGUUUUUGCUGUAAGGAAAGGAAAGGGAGACUCUCCUUCAGUGCCUUGGUGUAGGCUGAGACACCGAGGCCCCCUGGGAAACACCUACGGAUCAGGACCUCCUGCACAGGUGUGAUAUUUAUCCUGGAAGCAAUGUGUACAUGGAAUGCCCUACAGGCACAGGAGGCAUCCCUGGAGACUGAAUGGUGUCUGGGAAGAGUAGGGCCACAGAGCUGAGCCCCUAUGGACUGCAGCAGAGGGCCUGGCUCCAAUCCUAGCCUACCAUAUCCCAGUCCCAUGAUCCUCUGGUCCCAUGGAGUCUUGUUUGAGUGCAAGUGAACUGAAUUUCCCAAUUCCUCAAAAAGAGCAAUAGUAAUAAAAACCAUAAUAGUGACA
Long non-coding RNA from Homo sapiens (human), 524 nucleotides. Lineage: Eukaryota; Metazoa; Chordata; Mammalia; Primates; Hominidae. The record is from Ensembl.